Molecule: long non-coding RNA, 1109 nt
Filed under: Cricetulus griseus (Chinese hamster)
Lineage: Eukaryota; Metazoa; Chordata; Mammalia; Rodentia; Cricetidae
Description: lncRNA (ENSCGRG00000024428.1)
Source: RNAcentral
GUUGACAUGAGGAACAUGAAGCCUUCUUCGCCUCUCUCCUUGAAAUCUUCCCUCACCACCAACUCUCGAACUCCUCUGUUCACAGACAUAGCUAAUGGCUGCCCCUGAGCCAUCUCUGGGCAGGUUGGAGGUCUGCCUGCAGUGUGGGCUGCACACAGAUGUCUCUGUGAGUGUGAAACGGGACAUAAUGCCUGCCAGCCACACACUAACAGGAGCCUGUCACAUCUUCCUCUGGUGGGAGAUGGCCAAGCUGGAAAGAACUAUGAUGAGGAAAUCAAGCUAAGCAGACCAGAGGCAGCUUCUCAGCUUAGUGCUGAGACCAGUUUUGGUACAAGAGCCCCAGCAAGAUAACUAGAGUGUCAGCAUCCCCCUUUCCUGCGGAAACCUUUCUUUCUGUGAACAUCCUCAGCCUACGGAUAGUGGAGGACUCAGGCAACACCUGGCUCUAUCGGCAUUGUCAAGUCUCAUAGCACCUGGGUUAGUUGUCUUCAGCCAGAUUUUCUCCACCUCUAGCCAAAUGCCAAACAAUGUCCCUGGGUUCUGAUCACUAAAGGUAAAGUGGUUCUUGGAUACAAGGAUUCUCCAGACUGUGUUGCAUGGCCACAUCUCGCUGAUGGCUACUCAGAUCCUGCAUCUGGACAACUGCCCACCCAGCUGGCCUCUAGUGGAGCAGAGAUGCCCAAGCAUGCUAUUGUUUUUGUGAUGCACUGACUGCUCUCCCAUCUCUGUUCUCCAAGCUUCUCAAUGUUGGGCCCUGGUGAGGUCUUUAGGAAAUGCUUUCUAAGCGUCAUUAAGGCCUCCCCAGCUUUGAGCAUCACACCUGCCAUAGUAGAAAAGCAGGGUUGGCUUUGCGGUCCUGUGCCUGCCUGUACAGUGUCUUGAGUCCACAUGCUGUAAAAUGUCCCUGCUCUUGGCUUAAAGUUCUGCAGCUAUUGUCUUGAAAAUCUCAGUCAUUUUUAGGUUAAUAAUUCUUUUUUUGGUUUUUAUUCCAGACAGGGUUUCUCUAUGUAGCUUUGGAGCCUGUCCUGGAAUUCAUUCUAUAGACCAGGAUGGCCUCGAACUCACAUCUACCUGCCUCUGUCUCCCAAGUGCUGAGAUUAAAGGCAUGC